CUGAUUUAUGUAUAGAUGGUAUGUGAUAAAAAUAAGAGUACAAACUUGAAUUAAUACUUGGCCGUGUGUAUCAAUGUGUUUAAAUUGUAUAAAUUAAUAGUAUAUUGGAGAAAAAUGAAUUCAAUGUUGUUAUUUUAAAAAUUAUAUUAAAAACAAAUCAAGGUUAUCUGAUAAGAUAUAUCUUGUCGCUGAAGUGCCGAAGCACAAGGUGAUGAAGUUAACAAGUUUAAGAAGAAAAUGAUUUGACAGCUUCUAAAACAUCUAAAAACAAAUUUGAAAAAAGUUCUUGACAAAGAACGACAAAUUUGAUAAGAUAUAAAAGUCGCUGAGGCGAUGUGGUCUUUGAAAAUUAAACAGAGAAUUAACAAGAAACAUUCUUGUAACAGCCAGUAAGAUAAGGUAAUAUACCUUGUCAAUGAAUUUGAGAAGAGAUUAAACUUUUAAAUUUAGAGUUUGAUCCUGGCUCAGGACGAACGCUGGCGGCGUGCUUAACACAUGCAAGUCGAGCGAUGAAGCUUCCUUCGGGAGGUGGAUUAGCGGCGGACGGGUGAGUAACACGUGGGUAACCUGCCUCAAAGUGGGGGAUAGCCUUCCGAAAGGAAGAUUAAUACCGCAUAAUAUGAGAGAAUCGCAUGAUUUUCUUAUCAAAGAUUUAUUGCUUUGAGAUGGACCCGCGGCGCAUUAGCUAGUUGGUAAGGUAACGGCUUACCAAGGCAACGAUGCGUAGCCGACCUGAGAGGGUGAUCGGCCACAUUGGAACUGAGACACGGUCCAGACUCCUACGGGAGGCAGCAGUGGGGAAUAUUGCGCAAUGGGGGAAACCCUGACGCAGCAACGCCGCGUGGGUGAUGAAGGUCUUCGGAUUGUAAAGCCCUGUUUUCUAGGACGAUAAUGACGGUACUAGAGGAGGAAGCCACGGCUAACUACGUGCCAGCAGCCGCGGUAAUACGUAGGUGGCGAGCGUUGUCCGGAUUUACUGGGCGUAAAGGGUGCGUAGGCGGAUGUUUAAGUGGGAUGUGAAAUCCCCGGGCUUAACCUGGGGGCUGCAUUCCAAACUGGAUAUCUAGAGUGCAGGAGAGGAAAGCGGAAUUCCUAGUGUAGCGGUGAAAUGCGUAGAGAUUAGGAAGAACACCAGUGGCGAAGGCGGCUUUCUGGACUGUAACUGACGCUGAGGCACGAAAGCGUGGGUAGCAAACAGGAUUAGAUACCCUGGUAGUCCACGCCGUAAACGAUGGAUACUAGGUGUAGGGGGUAUCAACUCCCCCUGUGCCGCAGUUAACACAAUAAGUAUCCCGCCUGGGGAGUACGGUCGCAAGAUUAAAACUCAAAGGAAUUGACGGGGGCCCGCACAAGCAGCGGAGCAUGUGGUUUAAUUCGAAGCAACGCGAAGAACCUUACCUGGACUUGACAUCCCUUGCAUAGCCUAGAGAUAGGUGAAGCCCUUCGGGGCAAGGAGACAGGUGGUGCAUGGUUGUCGUCAGCUCGUGUCGUGAGAUGUUAGGUUAAGUCCUGCAACGAGCGCAACCCUUGUUAUUAGUUGCUACCAUUAAGUUGAGCACUCUAAUGAGACUGCCUGGGUAACCAGGAGGAAGGUGGGGAUGACGUCAAAUCAUCAUGCCCCUUAUGUCCAGGGCUACACACGUGCUACAAUGGUAGGUACAAUAAGACGCAAGACCGUGAGGUGGAGCAAAACUUAUAAAACCUAUCUCAGUUCGGAUUGUAGGCUGCAACUCGCCUACAUGAAGCUGGAGUUGCUAGUAAUCGCGAAUCAGAAUGUCGCGGUGAAUACGUUCCCGGGCCUUGUACACACCGCCCGUCACACCAUGAGAGCUGGUAACACCCGAAGUCCGUGAGGUAACCGUAAGGAACCAGCGGCCGAAGGUGGGAUUAGUGAUUGGGGUGAAGUCGUAACAAGGUAGCCGUAGGAGAACCUGCGGCUGGAUCACCUCC
This 1950-nucleotide ribosomal RNA is filed under the name Clostridium botulinum Bf. Its description in RNAcentral is "bacterial SSU rRNA". The stretch from base 442 to 1950 matches the Rfam family "Bacterial small subunit ribosomal RNA". Lineage: Bacteria; Bacillati; Bacillota; Clostridia; Eubacteriales; Clostridiaceae. The record is from RNAcentral.